UGGCUUUAAGACAUACUUAGCCAACUGUACUGAUUGGAACUCUUUUUGGAAAAUCUGCAGCAUUCAUUUCAAACAAGCUGGUUUAGAGCAUCUAGAAGGAGAGAUGUUAUUUAGAAGAUUCAAAUCUGUAAUAUAGCUUUAUGAAUGGGGGUGUGUGUGUUUUGUGUUUGUUUAGAAGAGACAAUUAUAUUUUAAUAUAUUUGAUAAGUAAUUAUUUUAACAACUCGA
Molecule: long non-coding RNA, 228 nt
Filed under: Populus trichocarpa (black cottonwood)
Lineage: Eukaryota; Viridiplantae; Streptophyta; Magnoliopsida; Malpighiales; Salicaceae
Description: long non-coding RNA (PTRI_LNC004628)
Source: RNAcentral